Small nuclear RNA from Chlorocebus sabaeus (green monkey), 99 nucleotides. The record is from Ensembl. NCBI's taxonomy places the organism in Eukaryota, Metazoa, Chordata, Mammalia, Primates, Cercopithecidae.
UUGCUUUGGCAGCAUAUACACUAAAAAUUGGAAUGAAACAGAUCAGCAUGACCCCUGUGCAAGGAUGGCACACAAAUUCAUGAAGUGUUCCACAUUAAA